AACGAACGCUGGCGGCAUGCCUAACACAUGCAAGUCGAACGAGACCUUCGGGUCUAGUGGCGCACGGGUGCGUAACGCGUGGGAAUCUGCCCUUGGGUUCGGAAUACCAGUUGGAAACGACUGCUAAUACCGGAUGAUGACGUAAGUCCAAAGAUUUAUCGCCCAAGGAUGAGCCCGCGUAGGAUUAGCUAGUUGGUGAGGUAAAGGCUCACCAAGGCGACGAUCCUUAGCUGGUCUGAGAGGAUGAUCAGCCACACUGGGACUGAGACACGGCCCAGACUCCUACGGGAGGCAGCAGUGGGGGAUAUUGGACAAUGGGCGAAAGCCUGAUCCAGCAAGGCCGCGUGAGUGAUGAAGGCCGUAGGGUUGUAAAGCUCUUUUACCCGGGAUGAUAAUGACAGUACCGGGAGAAUAAGCUCCGGCUAACUCCGUG
Molecule: ribosomal RNA, 433 nt
Filed under: uncultured bacterium
Lineage: Bacteria
Description: partial 16S ribosomal RNA
Rfam family: Bacterial small subunit ribosomal RNA
Source: RNAcentral